UACGUAGGGGGCAAGCGUUGUCCGGAAUCAUUGGGCGUAAAGAGCGUGUAGGCGGUCCGGUAAGUCGGCUGUGAAAGUCCAGGGCUCAACCCUGGGAUGCCGGUCGAUACUGCCGGACUAGAGCUCGGAAGAGGCGAGUGGAAUUCCCGGUGUAGCGGUGAAAUGCGCAGAUAUCGGGAGGAACACCUAUGGCGAAGGCAGCUCGCUGGGACGUUACUGACGCUGAGACGCGAAAGCGUGGGGAGCAAACAGG
Molecule: ribosomal RNA, 253 nt
Filed under: uncultured bacterium
Lineage: Bacteria
Description: partial 16S ribosomal RNA
Rfam family: Bacterial small subunit ribosomal RNA
Source: RNAcentral